GGGCGGUUAGCUCAGUUGGGAGAGCGCCAGAAUCGCACUCUGGAGGUCGGGGGUUCGACCCCCCUACCGUCCACCA
Molecule: transfer RNA, 76 nt
Filed under: bacterium
Lineage: Bacteria
Also listed under: 5 other names
Description: tRNA-Ala
Rfam family: tRNA
About the family: Transfer RNA (tRNA) molecules are approximately 80 nucleotides in length. Their secondary structure includes four short double-helical elements and three loops (D, anti-codon, and T loops).
Source: RNAcentral